ACGGGAGGCAGCAGUGGGGAAUAUUGCACAAUGGGCGAAAGCCUGAUGCAGCGACGCCGCGUGAGCGAAGAAGUAUUUCGGUAUGUAAAGCUCUAUCAGCAGGGAAGAAGAAUGACGGUACCUGACUAAGAAGCACCGGCUAAAUACGUGCCAGCAGCCGCGGUAAUACGUAUGGUGCAAGCGUUAUCCGGAUUUACUGGGUGUAAAGGGAGCGCAGGCGGUACGGCAAGUCUGAUGUGAAAGCCCGGGGCUCAACCCCGGUACUGCAUUGGAAACUACCGGACUAGAGUGUCGGAGGGGCAAGCGGAAUUCCUAGUGUAGCGGUGAAAUGCGUAGAUAUUAGGAGGAACACCGGUGGCGAAGGCGGCUUGCUGGACGAUAACUGACGCUGAGGCUCGAAAGCGUGGGGAGCAAACAGGAUUAGAUACCCUGGUA
Molecule: ribosomal RNA, 435 nt
Filed under: uncultured Roseburia sp.
Lineage: Bacteria; Bacillati; Bacillota; Clostridia; Lachnospirales; Lachnospiraceae
Description: partial 16S ribosomal RNA
Rfam family: Bacterial small subunit ribosomal RNA
Source: RNAcentral